UACGUAGGUGGCAAGCGUUGUCCGGAUUUACUGGGCGUAAAGGAUGCGUAGGCGGACAUUUAAGUCAGAUGUGAAAUACCCGAGCUUAACUUGGGUGCUGCAUUUGAAACUGGGUGUCUAGAGUGCAGGAGAGGUAAGUGGAAUUCCUAGUGUAGCGGUGAAAUGCGUAGAGAUCGGGAAGAACAUCAGUGGCGAAGGCGGCCUGCUGGGCUGUUGCUGACGCUGAGGCGCGACAGCGUGGGGAGCAAACAGG
Molecule: ribosomal RNA, 253 nt
Filed under: uncultured bacterium
Lineage: Bacteria
Description: partial 16S ribosomal RNA
Rfam family: Bacterial small subunit ribosomal RNA
Source: RNAcentral